GUGCCAGCCGCCGCGGUAAUACGUAGGCAGCGAGCGUUGUUCGGAGUUACUGGGCGUAAAGCGUGCGUAGGCGGUUUUCCAAGUCUGGUGUGAAAUCUCCCGGCUCAACCGGGAGGGUGCGCUAGAAACUGGGAGGCUGGAGUGCGGGAGAGGUAGGCGGAAUUCCUGGUGUAGCGGUGAAAUGCGUAGAUAUCAGGAGGAACACCGGUGGUGUAGACGGCCUGCUGGACCGUGACUGACGCUGAGGCACGAAAGCGUGGGGAGCAAACAGGAUUAGAUACCCCGGUAGUCC
This 292-nucleotide ribosomal RNA is filed under the name uncultured bacterium. RNAcentral describes it as "partial 16S ribosomal RNA". It matches the Rfam family "Bacterial small subunit ribosomal RNA", at positions 505 to 796 of the family's 1533-position model. The record is from RNAcentral.